Molecule: ribosomal RNA, 460 nt
Filed under: uncultured bacterium
Lineage: Bacteria
Description: partial 16S ribosomal RNA
Rfam family: Bacterial small subunit ribosomal RNA
Source: RNAcentral
CCUACGGGAGGCAGCAGUGAGGAAUAUUGGUCAAUGGACGAGAGUCUGAACCAGCCAAGCAGCGUGAAGGAUGACUGCCCUAUGGGUUGUAAACUUCUUUUAUAUGGGAAUAAACUGUUCCACGUGUGGGAUUUUGUAUGUACCAUACGAAUAAGGAUCGGCUAACUCCGUGCCAGCAGCGGCGGUAAUACGGAGGAUUCGAGCGUUAUCCGGAUUUAUUGGGUUUAAAGGGUGCGUAGGUGGAUUGUUAAGUUAGUUGUGAAAUUUUGCGGCUCAACCGUAAAAUUGCAGUUGAGACUGGCAGUCUUGAGUACAGUAGAGGUAGGCGGAAUGCGUGGUGUAGCGGUGAAAUGCUUAGAGAUCACGAAGAACUCCGAUUGCGAAGGCAGCUCACUGGACUGCAACUGACGCUGAGGCACGAAAGUGUGGGUAUCAAACAGGAUUAGAUACCCGAGUAGUC